RNAcentral lists this transfer RNA (77 nucleotides) under Microterricola viridarii. Its description in RNAcentral is "tRNA_Leu_TAA". It matches the Rfam family "tRNA". Rfam says of the family: Transfer RNA (tRNA) molecules are approximately 80 nucleotides in length. Their secondary structure includes four short double-helical elements and three loops (D, anti-codon, and T loops). Further hydrogen bonds mediate the characteristic L-shaped molecular structure. tRNAs have two regions of fundamental functional importance: the anti-codon, which is responsible for specific mRNA codon recognition, and the 3' end, to which the tRNAs corresponding amino acid is attached (by aminoacyl-tRNA synthetases). tRNAs cope with the degeneracy of the genetic code in two manners: having more than one tRNA (with a specific anti-codon) for a particular amino acid; and 'wobble' base-pairing, i.e. permitting non-standard base-pairing at the 3rd anti-codon position. The record is from RNAcentral. Lineage: Bacteria; Bacillati; Actinomycetota; Actinomycetes; Micrococcales; Microbacteriaceae.
GCCCCUAUAGCCCAAUCGGUAGAGGCAGACGACUUAAAAUCGUCCGAGUCAGGGUUCGAGUCCCUGUGGGGGUACCG